RNAcentral lists this ribosomal RNA (277 nucleotides) under uncultured prokaryote. RNAcentral describes it as "partial 16S ribosomal RNA". It matches the Rfam family "Bacterial small subunit ribosomal RNA", at positions 524 to 800 of the family's 1533-position model. The record is from RNAcentral.
CACGGGGGUUGCGAGCGUUGUCCGGAAUUACUAGGCGUAAAGGGCAGGCAGGCGGAUCCAUAAGUUUAUCGUUUAAGGCGUCGGCUUAACCGGCGUAGGGCGGUAGAUACUGUGGAUCUGGAAUGCGGUUGGGGAAGACAGAAUUCCUGGUGUAUCGGUGGAAUGCGCAGAGAUCAGGAGGAAUACCGAAGGCGAAGGCAGUCUUCCAAGCCGUUAUUGACGCUCAACUGCGAAGGUGUGGGUAUCAAACAGGAUUAGAUACCCGCGUAGUCCCUGA